RNAcentral lists this ribosomal RNA (485 nucleotides) under uncultured bacterium. RNAcentral's name for it is "bacterial SSU rRNA". It matches the Rfam family "Bacterial small subunit ribosomal RNA", at positions 903 to 1397 of the family's 1533-position model. The record is from RNAcentral.
AAAGGAAUUGACGGGGGCCCGCACAAGCAGUGGAUUAUGUGGUUUAAUUCGAAGCAACGCGAAGAACCUUACCAGGGCUUGACAUCCUCUUAAGGCUCCAGAGAUGGAGAGAUAUACAAGAGAGACAGGUGGUGCAUGGUUGUCGUCAGCUCGUGUCGUGAGAUGUUUGGUUAAGUCCAAUAACGAGCGCAACCCCUGUUGCUAGUUGCUAACAUUUAGUUGAGAACUCUAGCGAGACUGCCGUGGACAACACGGAGGAAGGAGGGGAUGACGUCAAAUCAUCAUGCCCCUUAUGUCCUGGGCUACACACGUAAUACAAUGGUAACGACAGAAGGAAGCAAUACCGCGAGGUGGAGCUAAUCCCCAAACGUUAUCCCAGUUCGGACUGCAGGCUGCAACUCGCCUGCACGAAGUCGGAAUUGCUAGUAAUGGCAGGUCAGCAUACUGUCGUGAAUACGUUCCCGGGCCUUGUACACACCGCCCGU